RNAcentral lists this ribosomal RNA (468 nucleotides) under uncultured bacterium. RNAcentral's name for it is "partial 16S ribosomal RNA". It matches the Rfam family "Bacterial small subunit ribosomal RNA", at positions 28 to 507 of the family's 1533-position model. The record is from RNAcentral.
GACGAACGCUGGCGGCGUGCUUAACACAUGCAAGUCGAACGGAAAGGCCCUGCUUUUGUGGGGUGCUCGAGUGGCUAACGGGUGAGUAACACGUGAGUAACCUGCCCUUGACUUUGGGAUAACUUCAGGAAACUGGGGCUAAUACCGGAUAGGAGCUCCUGCUGCAUGUUGGGGGUUGGAAAGUUUCGGCGGUUGGGGAUGGACUCGCGGCUUAUCAGCUUGUUGGUGGGGUAGUGGCUUACCAAGGCUUUGACGGGUAGCCGGCCUGAGAGGGUGACCGGCCACAUUGGGACUGAGAUACGGCCCAGACUCCUACGGGAGGCAGCAGUGGGGAAUAUUGCACAAUGGGCGGAAGCCUGAUGCAGCAACGCCGCGUGCGGGAUGACGGCCUUCGGGUUGUAAACCGCUUUCGCCUGUGACGAAGCGUGAGUGACGGUAAUGGGUAAAGAAGCACCGGCUAACUACGUG